Molecule: long non-coding RNA, 1716 nt
Filed under: Numida meleagris (helmeted guineafowl)
Lineage: Eukaryota; Metazoa; Chordata; Aves; Galliformes; Numididae
Description: lncRNA (ENSNMEG00000000306.1)
Source: RNAcentral
AUGAAAAAAAAAAAAGAAAUCUGCAUCACAGUGCAUGGAAAGGAGCGAGGAUUGGUGGGAAGGUCGGGAGCUCGCAGCUGGGGCGGCACUAACGUGGUGAGGAGGGGGACUGCGGGCCCAGAAUUUUCCUGUGGAUGCACAGAUAAAGCCGAGAAUAUCACAGGGGUAAGGGCUGAACUUGGCACGGGUCAGGACGCCCGCAGUGUGCACGGUGGGCACGGCACAGAGCGCAACGAGGCGUGGGGAGGACACGGGGUGGGCAGCAGCCGCCGCUUGUCUUCUGCCUUCCGCACACGGAGCUGGUUUGGUACCGGUGCUCCCUGCUCUCCUUGUGGCACCCUGAAGGAGCAGCCGGGCUGGGAAGUGCUGUGCCGGGCAGAGGUGAGCUCUGCUGUUGCUUUGGGGAUGCGCAUGCAGCCGCCAGGCCGGCAAGGUCACAUACCCAACAUGUCCUCGUUAAACAAAGCCAUUUACCAACACCGUGUUGACACAGCAGAGCUCGGGACAGAGUCACAAAGGGCACUCGCCAUGGGCCCCUGCGCCACCGGGGAGCCUGGGGAGCACCGCAGAGAGUGGAGAAGUGUCCCCUGCUUCUGCCCGGCACGAAACCGCUGCUGUGCUCACAGCCAGAACCCUCACCCAGGCAGGGACACCUACGGGAGAUGCUCCCGGCACUCCCGAGCCAAGCCGGUGCGAAUCAGCCGGGGUGGGUGCACAGCGGCCACGGCAGCAGCGACCGCCGAGAUACCCGACGGCCAAACGGGGCGCCGAGCCGGGCGGAGAACGAGCCCAGAGACGGGACCAGAGCCCCAACCCCGGGCUCAGCUCCGCCGGGGCUCGGGCCGCUCCCUGGAGCCGUUCCGCCGCGCCCCGAGCUCACGGCCACGCGAUGUGCGGUGUCCGCCGCUGCUGUGCGGGCGCUCCCCACCCUCCUUCCCUCCCCGCUGCCCGUACCUGUCGGGGUUGGGCUGGAGGCGGCUCCCGGGCGCAUCUCGGUGCUGGCGGAGACCGGGACCGGGACCGGCGCGCUCGGCCGCUCCGGCGAAAACUUUUGCCGGAGCCGCGGCGGCGGCGGCGGUGGCGACUCGAGGGGGAGGGACCGUCGCGGGGGGAGGGACCGCGGGAGAGAAGCCUCUUCCCGCCGCCCCGCUCCUCCCGCUGGCACGGGGGGGCGGAGGGGGCGCGGCUCGGUGCCCCCUCCCGGCGUUCCGACCGGCACAGGGUAAAGCUCCCGGGAGCUGCGAGCGCCCGCGCCUGUCACCGCCUCCGGUCCCGGUGCUGCCUCCUCUGCUCCGAACCGUCCCGGUGCUGAGCACCCCGUGGCCGCCCGGCGCAGCGGCGGGGACAGCCGGGAGCGCACCGGCCCCGUGCGGGAAGGAUGCGGCCGAGCGCGGCUUUGUCGGGUCAGCUCCGGCUCCGGCUCCGGCGCUGCUCCACGCUCCCGGCACUGCGGGUCCCCCCGUCCCCCGCGCUGCACCCCGGCCCCGUCUGCCCGACGGCCCCGGCCCAGCCCCGGCGUCGGGAGGUGACGGGUCCCCGCCCGCUGCCGGUGCCCGGAGCUGGCGGCUCCUGCCCGUGGGAACGGAGCUGACCCCGCGCCCGGACGGAUCCCCGCGGGGCGGCCGGGAGCUGCGCCGACCCUCUCGUUCCGGCCUCCGCUGGCGGUGUCGGGUCUGUGUUUGCCAUGCGCUGUCCUGGCGGAGCGCGGCCAGGUAA